UACGAAGGGGGCUAGCGUUGCUCGGAAUCACUGGGCGUAAAGCGCACGUAGGCGGACUCUUAAGUCGGUGGUGAAAUCCUGGAGCUCAACUCCAGAACUGCCUCCGAUACUGGGAGCCUUCGAGUCCGGGAGAGGUGAGUGGAACUGCGAGUGUAGAGGUGAAAUUCGUAGAUAUUCGCAAGAACACCAGUGGCGAAGGCGGCUCACUGGCCCGAUACUGACGCUGAGGCGCGAAAGCUAGGGUAGCAAACGGG
This 254-nucleotide ribosomal RNA is filed under the name uncultured bacterium. Its description in RNAcentral is "partial 16S ribosomal RNA". It matches the Rfam family "Bacterial small subunit ribosomal RNA", at positions 524 to 776 of the family's 1533-position model. The record is from RNAcentral.